GAUGAACGCUGGCGGCGUGCCUAAUACAUGCAAGUCGAGCGAACAGACGAGAAGCUUGCUUCUCUGACGUUAGCGUCGGACGUGUGAGUAACACAUGGAUACCCUACCUAUAUGCCUGGGAUAACUUCGGGAAACCGGAGCUCAUACCGGAAUAUAUCUUAAUCUGCAUGGUUCCAUGGUAAUAGACGGUUUUGUUGAAUUUUAUCGAUAGCUCAUGGCCGCAUUAGCUAGUGGGUAGGGUAACGGCUUACCAAGGCAACGGUCCGUCGCCGACCUGAGAGGGUGAUCGCCCACACUGGAACUGGGACACGGUCCAGACUCCUACGGGAGGCAGCAGUAGGGAAUCUUCCGCAAGGGGCGAAAGCCUGACGGAGCAACGCGGGGUGGGGGAUGAGGGUCUUGGAAUGGUAAAACUCGGUGAUAAGGGAAGAAGAAAGUGGGAAGUAACAGUGCACGUCUUGACGGUACCUAAUCAGAAAGCCACGGCUAACUACGUG
Molecule: ribosomal RNA, 497 nt
Filed under: uncultured bacterium
Lineage: Bacteria
Description: partial 16S ribosomal RNA
Rfam family: Bacterial small subunit ribosomal RNA
Source: RNAcentral